GGUUAGAUGGCAGAAUGGUUAUGCAAAAGAUUGCAAAUCUUAUAAUAUUGGUUCGAAUCCAAUUCUAGCUU
RNAcentral lists this transfer RNA (71 nucleotides) under Gelidium isabelae. Its description in RNAcentral is "tRNA-Cys". It matches the Rfam family "tRNA". From Rfam's summary of the family: Transfer RNA (tRNA) molecules are approximately 80 nucleotides in length. Their secondary structure includes four short double-helical elements and three loops (D, anti-codon, and T loops). Further hydrogen bonds mediate the characteristic L-shaped molecular structure. tRNAs have two regions of fundamental functional importance: the anti-codon, which is responsible for specific mRNA codon recognition, and the 3' end, to which the tRNAs corresponding amino acid is attached (by aminoacyl-tRNA synthetases). tRNAs cope with the degeneracy of the genetic code in two manners: having more than one tRNA (with a specific anti-codon) for a particular amino acid; and 'wobble' base-pairing, i.e. permitting non-standard base-pairing at the 3rd anti-codon position. The record is from RNAcentral. Lineage: Eukaryota; Rhodophyta; Florideophyceae; Gelidiales; Gelidiaceae.